Pyrenophora teres f. teres 0-1 is the source of this 91-nucleotide non-coding RNA. Lineage: Eukaryota; Fungi; Ascomycota; Dothideomycetes; Pleosporales; Pleosporaceae. The record is from Rfam.
GGUGCGGUGCCAGAGUGGUUAAUGGGUAUGACUCGAAUAUGCACGAUAUCAUAUGUCUUCGGACGCAGGAGUUCGAAUCUCCUCCGCAUCG